RNAcentral lists this ribosomal RNA (253 nucleotides) under uncultured bacterium. RNAcentral's name for it is "partial 16S ribosomal RNA". It matches the Rfam family "Bacterial small subunit ribosomal RNA", at positions 524 to 776 of the family's 1533-position model. The record is from RNAcentral.
UACAGAGGUCCCAAGCGUUGUCCGGAAUCACUGGGCGUAAAGGGCGCGUAGGCGGCUCAUGAAGGCUGUGGUGAAAGUCCGGGGCUCAACCUCGGAUCGGCCGUGGCGACUCGUGGGCUGGAGCACUGUAGAGGCGGGUGGAAUUCCGGGUGUAGCGGUGGAAUGCGUAGAGAUCCGGAAGAACACCAGUGGCGAAGGCGGCCCGCUGGGCAGUGGCUGACGCUGAGGCGCGACAGCGUGGGGAGCAAACAGG